This 497-nucleotide ribosomal RNA is filed under the name uncultured bacterium. RNAcentral describes it as "partial 16S ribosomal RNA". It matches the Rfam family "Bacterial small subunit ribosomal RNA", at positions 28 to 507 of the family's 1533-position model. The record is from RNAcentral.
GAUGAACGCUGGCGGCGUGCCUAAUACAUGCAAGUCGAGCGAACGGACGAGAAGCUUGCUUUUCUGAUGUUAGCGGCGGACGGGUGAGUAACACGUGGAUAACCUACCUAUAAGACUGGGAUAACUUCGGGAAACCGGAGCUAAUACCGGAUAAUAUUUUGAACCGCAUGGUUCAAAAGUGAAAGACGGUCUUGCUGUCACUUAUAGCUGGAUCCGCGCUGCAUUAGCUAGUUGGUAAGGUAACGGCUUACCAAGGCAACGAUGCACAGCCGACCUGAGAGGGUGACCGGCCACACUGUAACUGAGACACGGUCCAGACUCCUACGGGAGGCAGCAGUAGGGAAUCUUCCGCAAUGGGCGAAAGCCUGACGGUGCAACGCCGCGUGAGUGAUGAAGGUCUUCGGAUCGUAAAACUCUGUUAUUAGGGAAGAACAUAUGUGUAAGUAACUGUGCACAUUUUGACGGUACCUAAUCAGAAAGCCACGGCUAACUACGUG